Molecule: ribosomal RNA, 407 nt
Filed under: uncultured bacterium
Lineage: Bacteria
Description: bacterial SSU rRNA
Rfam family: Bacterial small subunit ribosomal RNA
Source: RNAcentral
AACGAACGCUGGCGGCGUGCCUAACACAUGCAAGUCGAGCGGGAAAGUUCCCUUCGGGGAGCGAGUACAGCGGCGAACGGGUGAGUAACACGUAGGUAACCCUACCCUGGAGAUCGGGAUAACCUGCCGAAAGGCGGGCUAAUACCGGAUAAGACCACGAGGGCUGCGGCCCUUGAGGAAAAAGAUGGCCUCUGCUUGCAAGCUAUCACUCUGGGAUGGGCCUGCGCGCCAUUAGCUAGUUGGUGAGGUAACGGCUCACCAAGGCUGAGAUGGCUAGCUGGUCUGAGAGGAUGGCCAGCCACACUGGGACUGAGACACGGCCCAGACUCCUACGGGAGGCAGCAGUGGGGAAUAUUGCGCAAUGGGCGAAAGCCUGACGCAGCGACGCCGCGUGGGUGAUGAAGGCC